AUGUAUGUAUGUAUGUAUGAUGCAUGUGUGCUUCGAUUUGGAGCAGCAGUAGGACGACGACGAGAGGACGAGUACCUCGACGGCGACGACAACCAGGAGGAUGAACCCACCCACAAGGGCGCCGACGCCGGCCAUCAGAACGACGACUCUUCGUCCUGCACCACCUCACACUGCGGCGGCUACAGGUCAUUUUUUUGGGAUUGCCUAUGUUUCAAUCCUAUGGAUCUGCUGCAUGCUUGGUACUACUUACAAUCUGCAUUUCAAGUAGAUCCAGUCAACAUCCAAGUUUCUGAAAAUUCAGUUUAG
RNAcentral lists this ribosomal RNA (306 nucleotides) under Triticum aestivum (bread wheat). RNAcentral describes it as "partial small subunit ribosomal RNA". The record is from RNAcentral. Lineage: Eukaryota; Viridiplantae; Streptophyta; Magnoliopsida; Poales; Poaceae.